Molecule: long non-coding RNA, 517 nt
Organism: Manihot esculenta (cassava)
Lineage: Eukaryota; Viridiplantae; Streptophyta; Magnoliopsida; Malpighiales; Euphorbiaceae
Exons: 4
Source: RefSeq, a predicted model, not a curated record
CCUUUCUCCUCUAAUUACUGGCAACGUGCAUCAACCAGGCCGGAGAUUCUCUUCGCGCAAUCAAUAAUAUGUUGUGAGGCACACGACCAACGCUCACCAGUGAGGGACACUCUCAUGAGAAGCACGACUAGACUUGCUCCAAAAAGUCGAAGGUUCCAAGUCGAGAGCUCUCGUCCAACAGUGACAAGCUAUGCGAUUUGGCUAGGUGCACGAAUUCCAACUAGCGACAAGGCAUUCUUUCUGGUGACACACUCGACCGGCUCCUCCUUUUGCGAUCAGCUUCCCCACCUGCGAUCAACACAGGAUUCUUCACAGAGAAGCUUUUGUACAAACUCGCUGUUCUAAAGCUUAAUGGAGGAAUGGGAAGACAAUGGGCUGCACUGGACCCAAGUUUGUUUUUGAAGUUCGUAAUGGAUUGACAUUCCUUAAUCUUAUUGUCAUCCAAAUUGAGAGCCAAUAUCCUCAUCUGGUUGUUGAGGAUUUUACUCCAUUGCCAAGCAAAAGGCAGACCGGUAAG